UUCAUUAUUUUUCGUUGCUGUUUUGCUUAAAAAAAGUUAAUAUAUAAAUGACGUGUUAAAAUACGAAAUAUUUUUAAUACCUAUUUAUGUUCGAGCCACAUAAAUUUUCACUUUAAAUACGAUACGUCAUUCAGCAGUCGGUAGUAGCAUUGAUCAUUUAUCGGGCAAUAGGUGUUGAGAUUUUUUCCUUGUGUUGCAUGACAUUGCUUCUUGCCAAAUGUCAUGAUUAUAGUUCAACGUAAAAGAACACAACAUCUGAUGAGUACUUACAAAUUUAGAAGGAUGACCAGUGCGUUACACUCUUUUGUGAUUGUGAUAAUAAGAUG
Molecule: long non-coding RNA, 326 nt
Organism: Galleria mellonella (greater wax moth)
Lineage: Eukaryota; Metazoa; Arthropoda; Insecta; Lepidoptera; Pyralidae
Exons: 3
Source: RefSeq, a predicted model, not a curated record